CGCAAAAAAAAUGCCGCUGAAUUCAAACGUCAGUUUCUUACCCGCGUGCGCGCUCAACCGGUCCGAUGGCAGCUGACAACCUAUGCUGGUGUUGGUAAGGCCGGUUCUACCUACUAAUGUCAAGCGCACUAACACAAAAACACCGAAUGAAUGAUCAAAUACUGAGACAGCUUUCGCUAUCGAGAUGAUUCGGCUUUGAAGAGUGAAACAGUACACACCGGAAGGCGGCUUUUGCGACCACAAGCAACAAAUUUAAAGAGUGAAAAUGUUAUUCCCAAAGAAGAAUAAUUGCAAGAGUGAUUAGUGUAGAUAUCUUUUACUCCAGGAAUGGUGCUCGCGAAAGUACUCUUAAAUUUGAUCAAUUGCGAUUGGCGAAUAUUUAUUGAAAAAUAGUCGGAAAUUGGUUUUCAUCUUCUCGUUGAAAAAUCGUCGGUGUAAUAACAAAAAAAAAAGGAAAUGUAGCGUAUAAGCAAUAUAUUUUGGGAGUGAAAUCCGCAAAAAUAUGUCCGCAAAGGUUGCACCCAAUCGGACACGGAAAAAGGUCCACGUUCCAGAAAAAUCAAUGUUCCAAAAUGGCUGCCGCAGACGCUUGAAAUAAAAAAGGUGUGCUGAUGGCGAUCACAGCCCGUUUGCUUGACACCACAAAGGAAGAAAAAUAAGACGUAAUAAUGCAACUGAAAGGAUACUCACUGAUUCGGAAGUCCCAACAGGACAGCAUUUCGCAGCUGAUUUUUUAAACGACGGAGCCUACUCGGAUGCGUUGUUGGUAUCGUUCGGCAAUUAACAGCGAGCGUCGUCCGGUCAUUCGAAAAAAAAUUGACCAAAUCCCGAACAUAGCAACCGACUCGAGACGGGCUACUUCGAUCGAUUUUAGAGGAAAAUGACUGACCAUGUCAUUGCGAAAUAGCAGCUCGCACUGCUGUAGAGUGAAUCGGACCACCUCCGGGCGUACGUCAGUGUCAAAUUUUAAAAACGGAAUUGGAAAUCGAAGCAGAUUAUGGUACAUUUUGUCAGUGGUAAAAGUGCACAGACUAAGGUAGUGUACUUCACACAAUUAGCUGAAAGAGACAAUGCAUCUGGAUCAACUGCAUGAGGUAUCGGAAUUUAGGAAUUAUUUUAUUUGACAUUAAGCUAGAUUCAGGAUAGGCACAGCAAUUUAUCGAUCGAUUGACAGUUCAUACACAAAACCGAGCGGCUAGUUAAAUAAUUUAUAAUUAUCUCAAUAUUUAAUAUUUACUUUUCGCAUUACACCUCGUGACCAUUGCAGCGUUAUGAACUGAAAUUGGAUAUCUAGUUCCGCGCAAAGAGCUUCAUGUGUACAGAAAAAUAACUCGCCUACGAUACAGCUGUCGUAUUGUUAUUGUAUUUAACGGGAUAAUUAUCUCCUUGAGGUUUGAAUCUCCACUUUCUGUUCAGCUUUUGAUUUUUUUGAGAGCGUCUAAGCAAAACUCAAACAGGUGUUUCUCAACAAUUUCGAUUUCCCAUGCCAACUAUCCACAGGCUUUCGCAGCCUCCUGCGAUCCACAUGAACAGCAUUAACGGCAUGUUUUCGGGACGUGAUAUUAUCACUACGGAAUAUUAUUUUUGCGAAUUCAUUGUUUCUAAAUGACCCAACAUUAAGUCCCAACCAUUUUACUUAUUUUAUUCUGGUUUAAUAGACGACCGUCAGCUCCAAUUUGUAUGUGUUUCGUGAUUUUCAGUAGUUUCUCUGUAACGGUAUAGAGGCUGGUAUUUACUAUGUUUCUAUCGGAAUCCAGCUUCUAUACCUAUCGAUCGUAAAAUUCGAAUAAUUUCAAAAUGCCAAUGAUGCCACGCUCGAAUAGUAAAAUUAGCAGUUUACGCCGUAGCACGAAGAUGUGGUAGUAAUUCCACGUUGAUCGGCAUAUGCGUUUAGUUAUCAACAAAGCUAUUAUAGUUUACGAAGUUUUAACAGACAAUUCCAGUUAUGUUUUCAUCUUUUCUAACUUGUAUGUGUUUAGUUCCAUAGAGGUUAGUAUUCACUCUAUUUCGGAUAGCACAACAAGAAACUCACUUCUCGAUAUGUACUUAACCUUCUAUAAAUCUACUGUGACUCUAAUAUUAAACCUGAGAAACCCAUCAAAAAUUUUCGAAGCUGUCUAGAUUUUCUGAGCAUAUCUAACCGUACACACGAAGCGCACUUAAGCUUCCAGAUAUUACUGUACUCUUGGAACAUAAUCAAUAAGCUCAUAAUCAAUAAUCAAUAAGCUCGGAACUUCCGUACCCACAUUUAAAAUGUCGCCACAGAAACAGUCACGGUCGCCAUGUUAACAUGCGUAUAUAUCCUUAUUCUAAUACAUUGCUUCCGAGAUGUGAUAUUAACACUGCGGGCUGUACUUUUUCAUCCGGAAACAUAUGAACACUCAUCGAUGGGUAUAUGUUUCGUUCUAUCUUCCCGAGCAAGGAAGUCACCAUCGUUUGGAACUAUAAACUACGUUGUUUGAUAGUUUCAAUUCAAAUCGUUUCAUUCAAUUCCUUUCCGUUUACAUACUGCCAUACUGAAUUUAACCGAAUCAACCGGACUAAAUUCAUGCUUCAAUUCAAAACUGUUCACUCUUUGACAGUCACACGCAUUUGCGGCAAAAUCAAGUUUUUUUGGGAGAAAAUAGACAUACGACUUACAUAUUGCAAAUUGAUUUGUUUAGAGGGACGAUUGUGAACAAACACAAACUUGAUUCAGAAAGUCGUCAUCAUAUGACCAAAGGUCGCAUGAGUACGAACAAUACCGAAAUACUUCCACUGUAAGUUCUUUUUAAGUUCUAUUUCUAUUAUUUUUGCGAAAGCCAUUCACUGAAAUUUCUCAAUAUUUUCUAUUUCCUAUUCGUAUGCGAAAUGUCGGUUAAGCAGGACACCAGCCUACUGUGGUUUCUUUCAAAUUCUAUUUCAAUUUUUUUGCGAGUGAUUUCAAGCAAAUCUUUCGACACGUGAUAUUAUCACUACGGAAUAUUCUUUUUGCUUCUAAAUAUUAAACUUCACAAUAUUACAAUAUGCAUUGCAAAUUUACGGGACUGAUACAUCUUGAAUUCGUCAUCAUAUGACCAAAGGUCGCAAGAGUGCCCGUAGAAGGAUUCAACCACUGAAAUUUCGGAUAUGUUUUAGAAAUUCGUUUUUUGUUCUGUGUAUUGCUUACUCGGUGAUAUCGUUCCGUUGUGUGAUACUAUCGCCACGGUAUAUUACUCUUGAGGAAGAAGACGACCAAUUCUAGAACAAGCCAAGCUUUCGAUACGUGAUAUUAUCACUACGGAAUAUUAUUUUUACCCUGAGUUGGUCCGCCAUCUCCGAAACCUCAGCCGUUUCUUCACCGAUUUUCAUCGUUUGACGCUCCAUCGAACUGCAUCCCAGCAGGCGUGUGUUAUGAGCCUACGAAGCGUUCGGAUUCAAACUACAGCACAUAAUGCGGGUCUAACUCAGACUGAGGUUAUAUUUUACUUUAAGUUUCUACAGAGCUACAGCGUCGGGCGGUACCUACGUGACACUUUUUGCUACGGUCAGCGUUGUCGUGCAGUAGACUCGAGUAUGCUGACGAUUUACAGUUCAGCGUUGAAAGAGAUGAUACCAAUCACUGUAGGUUCUUUUUAAGUUCUAUUUCUAUUAUUUUUAUGAAACCGGAGUUAAUGCUAACCACUAAAGUUUCUCAAUAUUUUCUAUUUCCUAUUCGUAUGCGAACUGUCAGAUAGCAAACCAGCCUAUUGCGGUUUAUUGCAGAACAAGCCAAGCUUUCGACACGUGAUAUUAUCACUACGGAAUAUUAUUUUUGCCUUAAAGAGAAUCUGAAAAACGAAACAAGUUAACGGAUCACUUCAAGAUAAACUGUGGUUGAAAGUUGUUAAUUAUGAUUGGCAUUGGCACGAACUCAAUGCCGUUCUUGGAUUUGUGGUAUUUGCUUUGUCAAAUAAAACACAUUCUCUUUGCGUGUCCAGAAGGGAACUGACUUAGUUUUAUUUCAUAUAUUAUUUACAGAGUUGAUUUAAACCUCGAGUUGGUUCCGUCGAUUCGCUGAUUCAAGCGCUUUCAGUCGCUUGCCGUUUCGUCGCCAUCUCCAUAUGAUGACGACGACGAUGAUGAUUACGAAAAAUGCACCGUCCAGAGAAUACGAUGCGACGUCGUGUGCGCUGAUUGUGUUUUGGAUGAUCACGUCGUCCCCGAACGGCCACAUCGUGCUGAGUUGCGUGCUUCGAUGAAAUUGGAGAACUGUUGCAGUUCGAUGGCGGCGCGCAUACUUUUAAGGCCCUCCAAUGCGGAUGUUUGUGGUGCUCCGUUUAUGCUGAGAACGGGCAUUUCGAUUGUUUUGAAAACGCUACGAUUAAGGGGACCAUGGUGCAUAGUUUAGCUUAGAGUCCCCCGCUAGCACUCGGACGAUGAUCAGCCGCCCCUAGCAGACGCUGUUGUGAGCCGUUCCUAACAUGGAGAACAGACGCUCCGCUACAGGUUUUCCGAAGCGAACCACCUUCACUGUCUGCUUACGACCGUAGUUUCCACCGGGGGUUGGUUACCCAAUCUCUACUAUAGUUGCUCGUACCCCGGUCAGUACCGCGUGGAGGCAGGGACGGGAGUUGCAAGGCGUAAGGUAAGGACCACGCGUGGGGUAUUUUAUUCAUUCGGAUACGCAAUACUCAGCCAUUUACCAACCACAGCUGGACGAAACUAAUUAGAAAAUCAACAUUCUCCAGAACAACAACAGCGAUAACAGUAUGGACGAAAACAACGACCGAGAAUACGGGACCGAAUGACCCUGAGAAAUUAUUAGAAGCCGCUGAAAAUGAUUCACCACCGUGGAAAAGAAUCUCCGCGCGGAUUGGAAUUAUUUACUGUAAAUAUAUAAAAGACACGUGGCUCCGAUAAGCUCACGCGUCUAGCCGGUUCCAAUAAACGAAUUUUAAAAAAUCGGAUCCUGGUCGGAAUCCUACACAUCACACCACUAUAAUUCUUAGUAGGAUUGCAUAAGAAUCUUGAGAUAACUAUCACCAUUCGGAGAAGAAUUCUAUCGGAAUGCCAAGCAUGAUUUAUCAGAAUCCCAAUUACAAUACUGCAAAAUAUUAACGGAAUCCUGGGAAGCCUUACGAAUCCCAAACAGAAUUUUGAGAAGCAUGUCAUCGGAAUUCUUAGAGAGUACCAAAAAUAGACUACAGAGUGCCGGACUCGUGCGUCAAAAUGGCUUGCAGUAUUCAAUUUUCUCUGAUCAGAGAGGAAUUUUCGAAAGUAGUUCAAAAUCCGUCUCCUUAUGCACGGGCCUGUCAGUCAAGUUCUUCCGUUCGAGAAUGUAUUUUUUUAAUAUUUGAGUACAUUCUGCUCACGGUUGAGUGCAAAAAACUUAGUAGUGAGUUGUGAUUUUUUCUCAAACUGUAUUAAAGCGAUUUAUCAUUUUUUUCUGUUUGCGUGGUACCUCAAUACUUAACAUUACUAACUCAAUAUUAGGCUAUUUUUAAUUUUCGUGUGCGCUAUCUGACAUCUGUACAUCCUACCUCCUCCAACUUUCCUGUUUUUCAGCAGCGAAAUAACGACAGCAGAUUAAAAUUACCCACAUGGUAGGUAAUGGAACUUAAAUGUGUAUGUAUCAACGCAAAAAAAAUGCCGCUGAAUUCAAACGUCAGUUUCCUACCCGCGCGCGCGCUCAACCGGUCCGAUGGCAGCUGACAACCUAUGCUGGUGUUGGUAAGGCCGGUUCUACCUACUAAUGUCAAGCGCACUAACACAAAAACACCGAAUGAAUGAUCAAAUACUGAGACAGCUUUCGCUAUCGAGAUGAUUCGGCUUUGAAGAGUGAAACAGUACACACCGGAAGGCGGCUUUUGCGACCACAAGCAACAAAUUUAAAGAGUGAAAAUGUUAUUCCCAAAGAAGAAUAAUUGCAAGAGUGAUUAGUGUAGAUAUCUUUUACUCCAGGAAUGGUGCUCGCGAAAGUACUCUUAAAUUUGAUCAAUUGCGAUUGGCGAAUAUUUAUUGAAAAAUAGUCGGAAAUUGGUUUUCAUCUUCUCGUUGAAAAAUCGUCGGUGUAAUAACAAAAAAAAAAGGAAAUGUAGCGUAUAAGCAAUAUAUUUUGGGAGUGAAAUCCGCAAAAAUAUGUCCGCAAAGGUUGCACCCAAUCGGACACGGAAAAAGGUCCACGUUCCAGAAAAAUCAAUGUUCCAAAAUGGCUGCCGCAGACGCUUGAAAUAAAAAAGGUGUGCUGAUGGCGAUCACAGCCCGUUUGCUUGACACCACAAAGGAAGAAAAAUAAGACGUAAUAAUGCAACUGAAAGGAUACUCACUGAUUCGGAAGUCCCAACAGGACAGCAUUUCGCAGCUGAUUUUUUAAACGACGGAGCCUACUCGGAUGCGUUGUUGGUAUCGUUCGGCAAUUAACAGCGAGCGUCGUCCGGUCAUUCGAAAAAAAAAAUUGACCAAAUCCCGAACAUAGCAACCAACUCGAGAAGGGGCUACUGCGAUCGAUUUUAGAGAAAAAUGACUACAAUGUCAUUGUGAAAUAGAGGCUCGCACUACUGUAGAGUGAAUCGGACCACCCCCGGGCGUACGUCAGUGACAAAUUUUCAAGACGGAGUUUUAAAUCUGAACAGAUUACGGUAGAUCAUCUCGGUGGUAAAAGUACACAGACUAAGGUAGUGUAUCUAACAGAACUAGCUGAAAGAGACAAUGCACUUGGACCAACUAUUUCCACUGUCAACUGCAUGAGGUAUCGAAAUUUAGGAAUUAAUUUAUUUGACAUUAACUAAGCUAGGUUCAGGAUAGGCACAGCAAUUUAUCGAUCGAUUGACAGUUCAUACACAAAACCGAGCGGCUAGUUAAAUAAUUUAUAAUUAUCUCAAUAUUUAAUAUUUACUUUGCGUAUUACACCUCGUGAUUAUUGCAGCGAAAUGAACUGAAAUUGGAUAUCUAGUUCCGAGCAAAGAGCUUCACGUGUACAAAAAAAUAACUCGCCUACGAUACAGACUUUCGUAUUGUUAUUGUAUUUAACGGGAUAAUUGUCUCCUUGAGAUUUGAAUUUCACUUUCUGUUCAGCUUUUGUAUUUCUUUGGGAGCGUUUAAGCAAAACUCAACAAAUGUUUCUCAACAAUUUCGAUUUCCCAUGCCAACUAUCCGCAGGCUGACGCAGUCUUCUGCGAUCUACAUGAACAGCAUUAACGGCAUUUUUUUUCGGGACGUGAUAUUAUCACUACGGAAUAUUAUUUUUGCGAAUUCAUUGUUUCUAAAUGACCCAACAUUAAGUCCCAACCAUUUUACUUACUUUAUUCUGGUUUAAUAGACCACCGUCAGCUCCCAUUUGUAUGUGUUUCGUGAUUUUCAGUACUUUCUCUGUUAUGGUAUAGAGGCUGGUAUUUACUGUGUUUCUGUCAGAAUCCAGCUUUUAUACCUAUCGAUCGUAAAAUUCGAAUGAUUUCGGAAUGCCAAUGAUGCCACGCUCGAAUAGCAAAAUUAGAAGUUUACGCCGUAGCAAGAUGAUGUGGUAGUAAUUCUACGUUGAUCGGCAUAUGCGUCUAGUUAUCAACAAAGCUAUUAGAAGUUUUAACAGACAAUUCCUGUUAGUCGAUCUGAUUGACACUUCUUCUAUCUAUGUCUCUUCUUGUAACUUAUAUUUUCAUCUUUUCUAGCUUGUAAGUGUUUAGUUCCAUAGCGGUUAGUAUUCACUCUAUUUCGGAUAGCACAACAAAAAACUCACUUCUCUAUAUGUAGUUAACCUUCUACAAAUCUACCGUGACCCGAAUGCUAAACCUGAGAAACCCAUUAAAAAUUCUCGAGGUUGUCUAGAUUUUGUGAGUAUAUCAAACCGUACACAGGAAGCGCAAUUAAGCUUCCAGAUAUAACUGUACUCUUGGAAUAUAACCAAUUAGUUCGGAACUUUCGUACCAACAUUUAGAAUGUCGCCACAGAAACAGUCACGGUCGCCAUGUUAACUUUAUUCUAAUACAUUGCUUCCGAGAUGUGAUAUUAACACUGCGGGCUGUACUUUUUCAUCCGGAAACAUAUGAACAGUCAUCGAUGGGUAUACGUUUCGUUCUAUCUUCCCGAGCAAUGAAGUCACCAUCGUUUGGAACAACAAACUACGUUGCUUGAUAGUUUCAAUUCAAAUCGUUUCAUUCAAUUCCUUUCCGUUUACAUACUGCCCUAUGGCAAUGUUGUACUCUAGGACUGGUCCCGGAAUUUAACCGAAUCAAAUAGUUUCAUGCUUCAAUUCAAAACUGUUCACUCUUUGACAGUUACACGCAUUUGCGGUAAAAUCAAGUUUUUUAGGGAGAAAAUAGACAUACCACUUACAUAUUGCAAAUUGAUUUGUUUAGUGGGACGAUUGUGAACAAACACAAACUUGACUCAGAAAGUCUCAAAAAGUCGUCAUCAUAUGACCAAAGGUCGCAUGAGUACGAGCAAUACUGAGGUACUUCCACUGUAAGUUCUUUUUAAGUUCUAUUUCUAUUAUUUUUGCGAAAGCCAUUCACUGAAAUUUCUCAAUAUUUUCUAUUUCCUAUUCGUAUGCGAACUGUCGGUUCAGCAGGACACCAGCCUACUGUGGUUUCUUUCAAAUUCUAUUUCAAUUUUUUUGCGAGUGAUUUCAAGCAAAUCUUUCGUCACGUGAUAUUAUCACUACGGAAUAUUAUUUUUGCUUCUAAAUAUUAAACUUCACAAUAUUACAAUAUGCAUUGCAAAUUUACGGGACUGAUACAUCUUGAAGUCGUCAUCAUAUGACCAAAGGUCGCAAGAGUGCCCGUAGAAGGAUUCAACCACUGAAAUUUCGGAUAUGUUUUAGAAAUUCGUUUUUUGUUCUGUGUAUUUCUUACUCGGUGAUAUCGUUCGGUUGUGUGAUAUUAUCGCCACGGAAUAUUACUCUUGAGGAAGAAGACAACCAAUUCUAGAACAAGCCAAGCUUUCGACACGUGAUAUUAUCACUACGGAAUAUUAUUUUUACCCUGAGUUGGUUCGCCAUCUCCGAAACCUCAGCCGUUUCUUCACCGAUUUUCAUCGUUUGACGCUCCAUCGAACUGCAUCCCAGCAGGCGUGUGUUAUGAGCCUACGAAGCGUUCGGAUUCAAACUACAGCACAUAAUGCGGGUCUAACUCAGACUGAGGUUAUAUUUUCCUUUAAGUUUCUACAGAGCUACAGCGUCGGGCGGUACCUACGUGACACUUUUUGCUACGGUCAGAGUUGUCGUGCAGUAGACUCGAGUAUGCUGACGAUUUACAGUUCAGCGUUGAAAGAGAUGAUACCAAUCACUGUAGGUUCUUUUUAAGUUCUAUUUCUAUUAUUUUUAUGAAACCGGAGUUAAUGCUAACCACUAAAGUUUCUCAAUAUUUUCUAUUUCCUAUUCGUAUGCGAACUGUCAGAUAGCAAACCAGCCUACUGCGGUUUAUUGCAGAACAAGCCAAGCUUUCGACACGUGAUAUUAUCACUACGGAAUAUUAUUUUUGCCUUAAAGAGAAUCUGAAAAACGAAACAAGUUAACGGAUCACUUAAAGAUAAACUGUGGUUGAAAGUUGUUAAUUAUGAUUGGCAUUGGCACGAACUCAAUGCCGUUCUUGGAUUUGUGGUAUUUGCUUUGUCAAAUAAAACACAUUCUCUUUGCGUGUCCAGAAGGGAACUGACUUAGUUUUAUUUCAUAUAUUAUUUACAGAGUUGAUUUAAACCUCGAGUUGGUUCCGUCGAUUCGCUGAUUCAACCGCUUUCAGUCGCUUGCCGUUUCGUCGCCAUCUCCAUAUGAUGACGACGACGACGAUGAUGAUUACGAAAAAUGCACCGUCCAGAGAAUACGAUGCGACGUCGUGUGCGCUGAUUGUGUUUUGGAAGAUCACGUCGUCCCCGAACGGCCACAUCGUGCUGAGUUGCGUGCUUCGUUGAAAUUGGAGAACUGUUGCAGUUCGAUGGCGGCGCGCAUACUUUUAAGGCCCUCCAAUGCGGAUGUUUGUGGUGCUCCGUUUAUGCUGAGAACGGGCAUUUCGAUUGUUUUGAAAACGCUACGAUUAAGCGCUUUUCGUUUGUUCGCUGUAACAUUGUGGUGGGGUGAUGCAUUACUUUGUGUCACACCAGUGGUUAUUGUUUUCUCUUUGUACUAGCGCUGGUGCGGGAUUUGUAAACUUGCACCAGUAAGCAUGUAAUAAUUUCAGGUCUUCGAAUUGCCUCAUUUAUUUUUUCUAAUUAAUUGAUAAUAUUAUUGAUAAUUGAACAUUGAAUAAUUAGAUGAUUGUUUCAUUUUAGUUAGAUUAGUGGAGAUCUUCUACCACGCUUCUCUUUUAGUUCGGUCGGGUGACCACAACUGAACUUUGAGAAAUUGCUCGUUGUAUAGCGCGUUCGUUACGCAUCCGUUCAUAUUUCGUGAAUACUUUGUAGAUUGGAUAGAGCAUCACGGUCACUUCGGCUGUUAUAACGCAUAUGCAAGCUGACUUUGACACUUUAUCUACUAAAACUUAUUGUAGACUGUCACGGUCACCAUUUCGGGUCCGGAUAUGUGGACAUUCAAAGGACAUUUUCGGAUGUCAACUUACUCGAUUGAAGUGGGUUUUACUAAUGUUUCUAUAUUUGUUCAAGAAGAACCGCCGAGGGUUCCAUUGGUUCAAACAUCUGGCAUGCAUACUUAAACCCAAACCGCUUAAAAGGAAAACAUAAGUUAUUGCUAUUGCGUAACGUUGCCUACGGUAUGCUGCAACUGCACCGUUUUUGAACUGAUUAGAGAUCAUCCAUAAAUGACGCUGCAUUAUAUGGGGGAGAGGGGAGUUUUUAAUUUUGUGAUGUUGUGUGACGACAGGGGGUAGGGGGUCAUGUCAUGGCGUUCAAAUCUGUUCACUCUUUGACAGUCACACGCAAUUGCGGUAAAAUCAAGUUAUUUGAGAGAAACUAGACAUACGACUUACAUAUUGCAAAUUGAUUUGAGCCGGAAGACACCAAUUCUAGAACAAGCCAAGCUUUCGACACGUGAUAUUAUCACUACGGAAUAUUAUUUUUACACUGCGUUGGUUCGCGAUCUCCAAAACCUCAGCCGUUUCUUCACCGAAUUUCAUCUUUUGACGAUGCAUCAAACUGCAUCCCAGCGGUCGCGAUUGGGAUUUAGAUAAAGUUCCUUUACAUGUUUCCGAAACUGUGACUUGACUUCACUAUUUACUGUUCAACGUUGAAAGAGAUGAUACCAAUCACUGUAGGUUCUUUUUAAGUUCUAUUUCUAUUAUUUUUACGAAACCGGAGCUACUGCUAACCACUAAAAUUUCUCAAUAUUUUCUAUUUCCUAUUCGUAUGCGAACUGUCAGCGCAACACGAUGCCAGCCUACUGUGAUUUCUUGUAACGAAAAAAAACAACAAGCGGAGCUUGUAAGUAGGGGUUUUCCACUACCUGGGUUCACGACAGGACGACAGAUUCGUCAACCAGCUAUUUCGGAUUUUCGUACACAAACAACAAAAGCGAGCAGUGCCAGCAGUUCAAGACUUGGCGAAUCUAUUUUGUCCUAACCCAUUCUAUUAUCGAUUAUUUCUGCACCUUCUUUAACCGCAUCAAUACGCGAGUUUUGGCAUUCCUAUAACUUGGUGAUGGUUUCCAUGUGUUCCGAAUGUUGAGGGACCCGUUACUACAAAACGCGUAGAUUCAACUAUACACGAGAAUGAAAUUUAAUUUCGACAGCAAAAUAUGCAAACGGAACUGAUCUUGUUUGCCCAACUAUUGCUAGAUCUCUUCACUUCCCAUCGCCGUGAAGUCGAAUUUGUGUUUUAUCCUCAGCCAUUUUCUGUUUCUAUUUGGCGACAAAAAUACUUUUACUAAACUGAAAACCCUGGCGGUUUCUGUUCAUUGUAUGGUCUGUAAAUCGCCAAAAACUUUUAUUAAUUUUGAGAAUCUCGAAAUGAUAAAAAAAUACCUCUGACCGGAAGUUAGCUAAUUUCCAGUUACUCGUCAUGUACACAAAAUUCUGUUUGCUAUUACGCGUACUGCGCACUUUCCCCGCCUAGCGCUCAGCUCGCCAUCUGCAGGCGAAUAGCAAAAAGUGUGCCCCGCACUUUAAACCGGCGGGUGGAUAGUCACGACGUUGGACUAGUUUUUACCACAACACGUUAGCUUGUCCCAUGUUAAACUGCAACUAUUUUAAGUUCUAUACACUACAAACUUAAAUAACUGUUUGAUUUCAAGAUGAACAGUACAAAAAAUGAAGUACAACCACUGUAGUUUCUUUUUAAGUUCUAUUUCUAUUAUUUUUACGUAACGAAACGUUUCCGCGGAUUUUAGUUUACCUUUCCAUGUUCGAUUUCAACUUACAGCUGCGAAGGUUCGUGAAAUUAGGCGGCAAACUAACUGCAUGCAGACAUUUUUAUUCUUAUUUAAUUUUAACUUAGCUUCUAUAUCACAAUUGUACAAAUGCAGAUUGGAUAUUACCGCAGAAAAUAAGCCACUCUCAAACCUGUUUACAGACAUUGUAUGCUUCCAUGCCUAUACGGCAAACAUUUUAGCCAAUUUUGUGGCACCACUAAAAUUUUUCUUGUAUCUAGCGACCCUGUUUAGGUUUCGCUCAGUUACACUAUAUGACCCGACAAAUUGCACAGCAGCCAUUACGAAACCGAAAACUGGUAGAUCCUUCACUAAAUUAUGUGCUUUUUGCCCAUUUACGGCACAUCUAGAAAGGACUUACAUUCCCACAAAUAGUCAAAAACACUUCACUGAAUUUUCACCCGCGUUGUUUACGCCAUAAAACCAACUUUACGGUGACCGUUCGCAAGAAAACGUCCACUAGCCAGACACUCGCGCACUACAUUACACGAGCCUCUUGGAAUCUAAUUCAGCCCCCAAUGGGUGGUAUGCCUUAGUUUAGCAGAGCCUUCGGUAUAUCGCAAGGCUCUGGAUCGAUUAUACCGCGCAUGAAAUUCAUGCGUUUCUCCAGACUUGCAUCUGGGGCUAGUGUCAGUGAUUCCGCCAUGAAAAUAAGUUGAGCGUUGGCAAGACCCGAUCCCUUUGUUGCUGAAACAACUGUCUAGUGCUCUUAUUGGACAAUUGAAGCAUACAAUGUACGGCGAACUAAAACUAACGGGCUGUUUUCGUAACUUUUCUUUUAUUUUUCACUGAUAUAUUACGGACUACCCAACCGAAAACUCAAACGGGUCACUACCCCGGACGCGGCCGGGCGAUGGCUACUACAAUCAACUGCCUUAAACGAAUGACUCCGCAGGACGCGGCCGGGCGAGAGCAACUUGAACGACUGAACUGACCAACUAAAUGACUCUUUUCGAUUUGACACAAAAGACUUUUAUCAUGUCAUCUGUGUAGACUUUACUCUGAGAGAGUCUCAGACCUAAACAAAACAUUCUUACCACGCUCGCGAGAGUAAAGACCCCGGUGGAUGAAUCAGUAGUUCAUUAUGACUCAUACCCGGAGGCCUUUACUUUCUACAACAGCGUCGCCGUCUGCUGCUAGCAGCAACAAACUGUGUUUAAUUAAACAAAGUGUUAAUGCGUUUCCGUAAGCAUAUGGCUUGGAAAGCGCGAGUGCAUCAAAAUAUCAGCUUAGCUUAAGGCUGCAGCUGGUGAUGUAACCCAGGAAAUUAAGUUCCCUGGUGCACCACUUGGAGAAAUUUGCCAGGGUUGAUGCUGGCCGAAAACUAUGGGCGCUGCACAAUGAACCGCCGUAGAAAUCCAAUAACUGAUAAAAAUCCAUUUAAUAAAAUCCAUCUUUAAAACUACAAAGCCCACACUCAACUCAGUCGUCGACAGGUCAAACUCGAAUCAGUGAUAACACCAUCGAUUUCAACGUCCCUCGAGGGUAUAUACACGCGAUAAUAUCAAAUGAUAAUCGCAGCACGCCUUACCUGGUAUUGAUUUUCUGGUAAAUCUGCCUAUGGUAGAUCGGAUUUUGUCAUCACUAGUCACGAACUGCUCUUAUCUACGGUUCGAACAAAUCUCACUCCUUUAUUUCAACUUAUUGUUAAGUCCUAAUUUAUGAAACUCUUCGUCUACGAACUCAUCUUCGGAUUUAAGCAAAAACGACUCUGUAUUUUUAUAGAACUCUUCACAUGAAACUUUCUUACUUUUCAAUAAUUCCUUCGACAAUUGCGUAUUUGCAGUCUUCUUAAAAUAUAUAUAUAAAGAUUUUUUAAACAUUCGUAGUUAUUCAUUUGCUAUUUUUGUUGUAUGUUUUAACGGAAAAAAAUUGUUCAUUUAUGACUGGAAUUAUUGAUACCUUUGUUUUUCCAUGAUACCUCGAUUGAUCCUCUAUGCUGUCGUUCUUUUGCUUGGGUCGCUCUCCAUCCACUGCUUGUCCUUUACGCUGCUUUUUUUCCUUUUACGAUUUUAGAAGUUUCUUUUUUGAAACACUGUUCCGAUAAAUGGUAGAAAAUUAUUACCAAUGUUGCUUGUUGGGAAUCGGCUACCAAUUGAACAUUUAGAUCAUCAACAUUUACUGGCUGUUUGUCAUUUUCAGGUUGAGUUUGAUCAUCAAUCGUGAUAGAGCUAACCACUGAAAUUUCUCAAUAUUUUCUAUUUCCUAUUCGUAUGCGAAGUGUCAGAGAAACAGAGGAAUUGGUUUUUCUCACCUUGUUUUGAAAUGUUUCAGUCCUCCAUUUGUUUCGACCAAAGCUUUUGCUUCUAAUUGAAUCAAUCACUCUCAAACGCUGCAACUAUCGGUCACUCAUAAACAACUUUUUCCGCUGCUUUCUCCCGGUGGAGCCCUGAAUUUUUCCUCCUUUUGUAUUUCUUUUUCUCUUGCUGAAAUGUAAGUUUAUGUAUCGCUUCAAUAUUCUUUUGCAUUUCUUUUUCGAGGAGUUCCUGCCAGGAGUCGUCGAAUGACAGUAUGUACGAGUUGACAUACAGUUUCACAGCUCAUUUUUUUGUUUUUCACACUUUUAAAUUCGGUCAAGUUAAAAUAAAACAAACUUUAGCGCGCGGCACCGGGAGCGAAUGUAAAACACGUCCGUACUUAUUGAUGACUAGACUGUAGCCUAUUUUGUAUAAUACAAUCGAACUGGGUUAUUAGAUCUGUUCGUGUUGAGCUUUCGAUGGUGAUUUCUGCCGGAGAAGUAAUUUUGGCUAUUUCUGUUUAGGCGUUGAUUCAAGUUUGUGGAUUUUGUGGGUUCCGCGUUUUUCAAAUUUCUCAAUUUCCUCGUAUGUGCACCGUGAUAUGCACAGCUUCACUGUUUGUUCUCGACUGACAUUUUUCUUUUUACUUAUUCAUAAAUUUUCUUAUCCGUUAUAAGCUUAUUUUUCGACCUCCUUUCCAAGUAAUUCGUGGUAAUUCAACGAAUAAUUCUCCUCCCUCAUCAAUCCAUGCAAUCGCUACUUCAACUAGUCAGGUUUAGAUGGCGCUGCAGGUGUUAAGUGGAACUAGCAGGCAUAUUCUUGGCGGCUUGAUUCUCGCAUCUGCAUGACAAAAUUAUUCUGGUUGCAGUUGAAAACUGGAAAAUCAAUCCAGCGACAAUCGGUUUUUCUCCUGUUUAUUGCCAAUCCAUGAUGUCGAAAGUAGUGCGCUGGGUAGCGCAUCAUUUUACAAAAACAGCGCACUACUUCCGACGUGAUUCCAUUGUUUAGAACUAGAGAAAAUACGAUUGUCGCUAGUUGGAUUUUCCAGUUUUCAACUGCAGCCAGAAUAUAACUCAACAAGAUCCGUGGGGUACACAAAAUAAUAAUCCAUCGUUCGAUUUUGUGAUACGGUUAUCCGACGCUGUUUUGAUUAUUGUUGUAUUUACCGACCACCGUCAUUUAACUUAUUGUUGGGCUUUGCAAACGAGCGAGCUUAGUCUCCACGCACAAAAAGCGAUGCUUUACAGGACACGACACUUAUUGCUCUUACUAACGAUAAGAAGGAUUAAAAAAUUACCUUUUUAGUCGACCAGUUACGGGUGCAUCCACUGCCAUUUCUCAAUAUUUUCUAUUUCCUAUUCGUAUGCGAACUGUCAGCGCAACACGACGCCAGCCUAGUGUGAUUUCUUGUAAAGGGAAAAAAAGCAAGCGAAGCUUGUAAGUAGCGGUUUUCCCACUAACUGGGUUGUUUUUAUAUGUCCGUGUAACCUCUGAAGCGUAUAUAGUAAAAUUCUUGCUAACUUCACCAACUACUAGUCAUCUGUCUCUAUACGGCAUGCGAUACUUUGGACAAACUAAAGCGAACAAACUACACGCGUGCUUCCAAUAUAUUUGGCGGACUGGGACGAAAUGAACUAGCAUCAUUAGUCCUCACAUUAGGGACGGUAAUUUCGUACGAACCUACAGGAAGUACGUAAUUUUCCAUAAAUUUUUUCGGACAAGUUCGGAAAUCCUACUGGCUGUUUUAUUCUGUCAGCUUACCUUUUGGCUCUAUCUGUCCCUCUCCGUCAUGCAUUCCAAGCGAAGGGAUCCUCAUGGUUUUCGUCUACAGGAGAAUCUCAACAGGAAAAUUAAUUUUGUUUCAUUCGCGUUGCGGGCAAGAGUCGAUCCCACGGUAGGUUAUCUAACUCUUGGCGCAAACAGAUCAGACUGUUCCUAUGUAUCUAGUGCAAUAAUGCAUUGCUAUUCUCAUCUAUUCUAAAUCAACUCAUACCGCGUCUUCUGUUAUUUUCCGGAGAUCUCCCGAACCUAAUUGUUUUAGUGUAGAUUCGCCUUUAGUUCUUAAUUGCGGCUAUGCGCCACCUAUAAUUUCUCCUCAAUCAACUGGUACCACGACACUAACUGAGAUUGCAAUCUCAAUAACUGACUGACUACGAUUAAUUAUGCUUUUCAUGCUCUGAUGGGAAAUUUAUUAGGUUCCACUGGCCCUGUUUCAAUAGACUUAACACUUCACUGUGACAUCGUACGGCUGCGCCAAUUAUAUAAGCCACGGUGUGGUCUGUCUAAAAGGCGAAUCUCUUUAUCCAGAAGGGAUUCAGCGUUUGUAGCUUUAUCGUCACGAUUUGAAGUCACCGCCUCCUACUUGUACAAUCCAACCACUGGAAUUUUGGCUAUAUACGGCCGUUUCAUCAGCGUUAGGGUAGUAUACACCACUCUUUGUAAGCUACCAGAGAACUUAAAAACCGAAUAAACAUAUUAAUCAAGUACAGCACAUUAUUAUUACAUAAUACCAAACCUAACUUAGCUGACAUGGAGCCAACAUGAAUAGCCGUUGGUGGCUCUUCAUGAUUACACCGGGUACCACGCAAUCAGCAUGGAAACUUCUUUGACCCGUGUCGUCACAUUUCUAUAGGUAAUUGUUAUCACUUAUUUCACACUAGCUUAUUCCACACUUUUCUAUAUGACGCGACGAUACGUACUUCCUUUUAAGAGAUUAAAAAAAUGGAACCUGAAGCUUCCUUUGUAAACUGCCUUACAAUUUUGUUUCAAAAUUAUUCAUAAAGUAAUAGUUUGUUUCCUAAUUCGAGGGUUUGCUUCGGCACUGUUUCUUAGAGCGUCUGUGAAUCUGUUUACUCUAGUUGUCAGAACGAUUGUUUUGUGCUUUAACUUUCAUUAUUCUAUUAGCCUGAGCACGCCCUGUCGAAACCGACAAAAAAUGCUAUUUUUCUGCGGGCCGUGUUUACCAACACUGCCAUUAAGCUGUGAAGCAAUAUUUGUAAACACGGCUCACAAUGUAAAAGUCAAUUAUGUCGACUUACUAGGCUAACUCUAGCAUCGUUUAUGUUAGCUGCUGCGUCUUGGAUGGUCCGUUCCAGAAAAUACUCUAACUCUUGGUCAAACGUUGCGAGAGAAAAAAGGUAAAUAAAAGAGUGCACGCUAAACUCUAAUUGCCCAUAAAAUUGGGUAAAUAAAGCUGCCGACUUCCAUUACACACCAUUUCUGUCGUCAAAGUGCAAAUCGAUCUAACCACUGCAAUUUUGCUAUAUCCUUCCUGCAAUGCAAUUUGAAGCAAAGACUUCCAUUAUCAGUAACUCAGACAACCAGUGACUUUUUAGGAGCAGCUUAUUUCUCACGAAUUUAACUGAUUUGAAUUUGACCGCAGACCGCCUGGUAGUGUUUAAAUUCACAUUUUCAUUGGAAAUGAACGUGACCAAUCAUGUUACAAGAUUUUACACUGCAAUGCAUUAUUCUGAUUUUAUUUUUCGAUUACUGUAGUGCUUGUUGUGUAUAAUUUUCGCCUUUGCCAGGGCAAUCUGAGUACAGUGUAAAGUCUAGUCUAAAAUUUUUUCUCUUUAUCGUUCCCUAACCUUAAAAUCUCUCAUUUAUUGUGAUUUAGGGUCGGAUUUAAUUGACCAAAAAUAUACAGUUAAUUAUUACUUGUACUUAGAACUCGUCGAUCAGUUCCUAUAUUUCCUGUGGCAUGAUGUCCAUCUCGAGACAUUUGAUGAAGCUGCCAUUGUUCUGUUGUAGAUGAGUAUGUCCUAUUGGACCACUGUUCCCUACUUGUUUUAGUCUUUUUUUUCUUGUGUAACUUGUCUCGCUGAAUAACUCGAUUUUCGUUGUUUAACACUUUUUGAGUCCGCAAAACUUUUCUUAAUUUUUUGUAAUUUGUCUCUUUUUGCUUUUAUUUCCAAUCAAAAUUCGGUUUUACUUACUAACGUUUGGGCCUUGAGACGAUCGAAACUGUUUUGGUGGGCGACCCGACUUGCUUCCCACUUUUAGCUGUUUGUUGUCAGUACAGUUUUAUUACACCUUUUCCACACGGUCGCCAUCAAAUACCUUUUUUAAAUAUAUUUUUUUUAUUCUAAUAUACUCACUAGUUACCGAAUAUUGAGUGAGCGUAGAAAGAUUCAACCACCGAAAUUUCGGAUAUGUUUUAGAAAUUCGUUUUUUGUUUUGUAUAUUUCUUACUCGGUGCCGGGCAAAAAAAACGUAGUUUUGAAUUAAAAUUCAAAACAAUUCACUCUUUGAUAAUCACACGCAAUUGCAGGUGGCAUCAAGCUAUUGGAGAAAAAUAGACAUACGACUUACAUAUUGCAAAUUGAUUUGAUUAGUUUCCAGCUAGUUUUCGUUAGAUUUUAGUUUUCCCAAAAUAAGUCAUCAUAUGACCAAAGGUCGCAUGAGUACGAACAAUAAACACAGAAAUACUUCCACUGUAAAUUCUUUUUAAGUUCUAUUUCUAUUAUUUUUGAGAAAGGAGAAAUUUUGUUAAUCACUGAAAUUUCUCAAUAUUUUCUAUUUCCUAUUCGUAUGCGAACUGUCAGUAAAGCAGUGCACCAGCCUACUGUGAUUUCUUUCAAAUUCUAUUUCAAUUUUUUUCCGAUUCAUUUCAAGCAACUUGUUUUGACACGUGAUAUUAUCACUACGGAAUAUUAUUUUUCACUUCUAGCACUACUCUUUUACAAGUAGCAGGUUUUCUGCAUUUUAGCUCACCAUUUGGUAUGACUGUCUCAGCCACUGAAAUUUCUCUAUAUAUUUCUAUUUACAAUUCGUAUACGACAGGAGCAAUGAAUUUGCCGUUCUCUUCAAAACUAGGUCGUUUUAGAAUAUUUGUGCAAACGGCAAGCACUGAAAUGUCGGAUAUGUUUUGGAAACCGAUCACUGAAAUUUCGAAGAAAUUCUAUAGUUUAUCCUAGUUUGAGCCGAACUGUGUUCGAGCCGUGAUAUUAUCACUACGGAAUAUUAUUUUUGACCCUGAAAAAGUUAAAAAUUACUAAAUUUAAACAGAGUAUAGUCGAAUCGUGAAUCACAUUAAUCGACCGUUUUUUUCACUGAGUUUCUGCGAUACUUUAUUCGACAUCUCUUCGACAGGAUACUUUAUAGAUCCAAACCUCUGACGGUUGGCUCGCUUUGGUAGACACUAAUCCUUCACCGGAGUUGUCACAUCGGCACCAACAGUAAAACUCUCAUUCCCAGCACGGUCACGUUAUCUUUUUUUAUCUUGUUGUCUACUUGAAAACCUUUUCCGUGCGGCUGCAAAUUGAUUUGAUUUAUUUCCAGUUAGUCAUUAUUAGAUUCUAGUUUUCCCAUAAAAGUCGUCAUCAUAUGACCAAAGGUCGCAUGAGUACGAACAAUAAGCUAAGCUAAAAAAAAAUAAAGCGUGUUUUCACGACAAAUGUCCAAUUCCAACUGAACUUUAUUUUCGAGUUAAUUAUAAUUGAGCCUAAAGCUAUGCCUAUCUCUGCUUUGUUAGCUGUUUUGGUUAAAGUAAAUGAAAAUAUAAUGUGGUAGCUGGGUUGCUAUUGCAAGUUGAAGUGGAGUUUUUGGGUUUUGAAAAUACGCACCCCAUUAUUUUGCUUGGCGAUAGUCAACGACUCUUCCGUCACAGCGCCAUCGAUGUCAACGACAUUAGCUGGCAUGUACACGCGAUACUCAAUGUUAAAGUGUGGGCCAUUUACUAUCGCGUGUGUCUGUUUUCAGUCUGCAUUCCUAUUUUUUCUAGCACUACACGUUAAACUCUUAUUCUUCCAUAUUGAGUAAAUAAUGGAAUAAUGUUUAUUCCAAAAGUUGUGUAAUUAAAUUAACCGUUACUUAACAUUUCUAUCUACACGAAAUUGUCACGAAAGUGCAAAACGAUCCUGCCACUGGAAUUUUAUGCUACCUUUUUCAAAUAAUGCAAUUGGAAGAAAAUACUGUCACUGAGAGCAAAUCAAGCAACGAACGUUUUUUUAGACAAACUUAUUUCACGCGAAAUUAACCGAUUAGAGUUUUACUUUAGCAGUUUUGCUUAGUUUGAGCAAGGCGCUGCACGCCUUCAAUUGCUUGUCAAUUCUUUUAGACGAGCUGAUUUUCUAGGCCAGCAGGCGAUUAUUUUUGAACCCGCUACGGCCGAGCGGUCAAAAGGAUUUUUCUAACAAAAUACAAAGAAAAACUAUUUUCCGUCAUCUCUUUUAUAAUAUUUUUCAAAUCAUACCCGGGCAACUCUAAAUAAACAGCUUUUUUGAGAUUUUUUCGAUGGUAACAUUAAAAUAACACCAAUGCGAAGGCAAAUAUUAAAAAAACAUGCUGGUGCCACUUCUUCGAACUUUGAAAAUGGUUUGCAACAUUAACAUCUGGAAAAUGUUUUGGUAAACCGAAUACUCAGAAAACCAACAGCCGAUUGUUGUGUUUUGGCUUAUCAAAUAAAACUGGGGAAAAAUAGCUAAACCUAAAAAUUUCAAACUGUUCUCGUUAAUCCACGUGGCAGCUGAAUUAUUGUUUUCGUUUGCCCAUUUAACAGUCAUUCCAUUUUCGAAUGUUAGUAUUAGGUCUGCUGUCAAUAUCGGUUUGGAUGUUAAGACAGAAAAACUUUACAAUAUGUCUUCAAAAAUGGUAUUGAAGUCAAAAUUAGAUUGUGAGAUGUUUUGGUAGCGGUUCUCUUUAGCACAAUACGAGGUAACCGUUGAGUUGCAAGUAUUCGUUCCAGCUUUAAAAAUACCUUCUGAAAUUUCUUACCUGUACACAGUUGAUCAUACUUUUGCCACUACUAUUCUCUCUUCGAUGAAUAUCAGCAAAACCUACCGCCACCGUCGCACCAACCACUUUAAUUUAGGUUAAGUUAUAGAAAUAUAAAUAUAGACGGAGGCCACGUUACAGAACGUCACCGCAAACGUAAAUCACCCAAGAAAGAUUACCAGAUCGAUAUCCAACGGUUUCAGAAGAGCAUCGUCUGCCCUUCUGAACAUGUAACACGUCGCCGCGCUGAAUAACAAGAUACAUAGGAUUCUCCGACGCUAGAAAAACGUGACGGGAAACCUGCCCACUAAUGAGGGGCGGUUUAAUAAUUAAUAUAUUAAUAUAAUCCGAAGACGACUCUCCGGCAAUCUAAAAUAUGUAUCGGAACCGACUACGCGGUAUCCCUUGGUAAAAGAUAUAAGUUCGGGUGUCUUCGACACCCCCGAAACAAAAGUUUCAAAAUUGUUGCCAAAAGGCAUAGUAUAUGUGUUCAGGACAACAAACUGGUCCCUUCCUUCGAAAUUCCUGGUCAACAGUAAACGGGCCGUAAACACUCCUGUCUUAGACGCCAUCCCGAAAUUAGAUGAAUGCACCUAACCGUAAGAAUGCACUUAGAUAUUUAUAACCUCGAUUUUGGAUUUUCUUUUAUAUGCGACAACACAUGACAUGGUUUCUUAAUAGACUAAGUGAACCGAUUGUCGAGCUAGAUCCGGUCUAGUCGGGCUUAGUCAGAAAGCUCUACUUAAUUCUUAUUAGUAAUUUCCAGUACUGUUUUUUCAACUUUACUGACAUUAAGUGAACUUACUCUAUUACAUUUCCGGCUUUUCUAUCCACUGAUCAUUUUCCCAUAAAGCGUUGUGAGAUUUUUUUGGUAUUUGAAUUAGUUUUCUUGAGAGUACAAUCCACUGAAUGCAAGUUCUUCAUUAUGUUCAAUCGUAUAAUAUUCAGUUUUAAAAUGCACCAACAUCCGCUACAUCUGCAGCUAACGUCUCAGUUCACGUUUCGGUACUGAAACUCCACAUAUCUUAAGAUUUCUGACCAUAGUUUGGAUCGAUUCGUUCCAGCUUUAAAAAUACCUUCUGCAAUUUCUUACCUGUACGCAGUUGAGCAUCCUUUUGCCACUACUAUUCUCUCUUUGACGACUAUCAGCAAAACCCACCGCCGCACCAACCACUUUAAUUUAGGUUAAGUUGUAGAAAUUUAGUUUUUGCUACAACACAACACAGGGGCGUAUGUUUUUGCUAAUCUCUUCAAAACUAGGUCGUUUUAGAAUAUUUACGAUGGGAAACAAAAACAACGCGCCGCCUACUAUGAUUCAACGAUUGUCCAAUUGAGUGCAACAUAGUCGACCAGCAUUUCGCUGUCGUCAUCAAGCUCCGGGUGAUCAUCGCUAUCCGUGUCAGAGGGGCGUCCAUCCCUCGACUCAUCAGCGAUGGGCUCGGAUUUAAAAUCCAGAGGGUCGGCGAAUUUAGACGCCGGCACUCCGUCUUUAGUCGAGGCGGACUUACUCGCACCCGACGUACCAGAGGCAGAAUCAGUAGUGGAACCACUACUCUUAGAAUUCUUUCGCCUAUCGGCGAAAGCUUUUUUACUCUUAUCAAAUUUAGCCUUAGAACGAGGACAUGAUAGUCCACCAAAUGUAGAAUCAUCAUUGCACGUAUGCAAGGUGCCCACUCUUGCUUCGCACACGGUAUCUUUAAUAGUUAAGGAAACUCUAUCGAGAAUUAUUCGAGGAGAUAUAAAUCCCCGAUCCACUAGAGAGUCAAAUCUACCCUCAUUAAAUAAAAGAUCAGAAUUAAUCCGAAGACGACUCUCCGGUAACCUAAAGUACUUAUCAGAUCCGACAACGCGGUAUCCCUUGGUGAAUGAGAUUAACUCGGGUGUCUGCGACACCCCAGAGACAAAAGUCUCAAAAUUAUUGCCAAAAGGCAUAGAAUAGGUAUUAAGGACCACGAACUGGUCCCUCCCUCCGUGACUCCUUGUCAGCAAUACAUCGGUCUAAAGCUCUUUGCCUCCUCAUAAGUGACGCGGCCACCUUUGCGAAUGAAUUUGACAGUUAUUUCCAUAACUGACAUACUUCAACCCGCCGGAUGCCACGCGGCCUCUAGGCUGGUUUUGUCCGGAGAAAGAUAAUAGAGUUAUCAACCUCCUAGUGGACCACAGCCAGUUACUGGGGAAGAAUGCACUUAGAUAUUUAUAACCUCGAUUUUGGAUUUUCUUUUAUAUGCGACAACACAUGACAUGGUUUCUUAAUAGACUAAGUGAACCGAUUGUCGAGCUAGAUCCGGUCUAGUCGGGCUUAGUCAGAAAGCUCUACUUAAUUCUUAUUAGUAAUUUCCAGUACUGUUUUUUCAACUUUACUGACAUUAAGUGAACUUACUCUAUUACAUUUCCGGCUUUUCUAUCCACUGAUCAUUUUCCCAUAAAGCGUUGUGAGAUUUUUUUGGUAUUUGAAUUAGUUUUCUUGAGAGUACAAUCCACUGAAUGCAAGUUCUUCAUUAUGUUCAAUCGUAUAAUAUUCAGUUUUAAAAUGCACCAACAUCCGCUACAUCUGCAGCUAACGUCUCAGUUCACGUUUCGGUACUGAAACUCCACAUAUCUUAAGAUUUCUGACCAUAGUUUGGAUCGAUUCGUUCCAGCUUUAAAAAUACCUUCUGCAAUUUCUUACCUGUACGCAGUUGAGCAUCCUUUUGCCACUACUAUUCUCUCUUUGACGACUAUCAGCAAAACCCACCGCCGCACCAACCACUUUAAUUUAGGUUAAGUUGUAGAAAUUUAGUUUUUGCUACAACACAACACAGGGGCGUAUGUUUUUGCUAAUCUCUUCAAAACUAGGUCGUUUUAGAAUAUUUACGAUGGGAAACAAAAACAACGCGCCGCCUACUAUGAUUCAACGAUUGUUGAACGACAGUCGCGCUGCUUCCGAUUGUGAAAUCUGACUCGGGUCGAUUUACUGCAAUUUCUUUUUUUGUUACUAAGAGCUGCUUGAAACUUUGUCAUUUGUUCGAUUUUGGAUUUUCUUUUAUAUGCGACAGGAAUCAGUACCGUCUGGCUCAAAUGGCACGUUCUCCAUGUUGAUCGGAGAUUUGUGCCUUGCCAAGAAUCGUCUUUUCAUCAUUUUCCUGAUGGGAAGGAUUGGGGAAGUGGUAAGGUUAGGGGUAAGGAAAACAACGACACAGAACAAUUAAAACAGAGCAUUCUGCACCCCCGGAGUGAUGCUGAACGAUCUGCAGGUGCUACAAUAGCAGGAAUAAAACUUCCAAUCCCCGGAGGGAUUUAGAACCUCUACUCAAACAGUGAGCGGAUAUAUCAACACCCCCGAGGGGAUAUUGAGAUAACAGAACGACAACACCCCCGAAGAGAUAUUGUCAUUCAAAUACGGCUAAAAAACUAUAGCUCUUUACCAUACUAGGUUAGGAACAAAAGCAUAUACUUAAAUUUCAGCUCUCUGUAUAUAGGUUCAUCUAUGUAUGGAGAACCAAAAAAACCGGAUGCGCAAUUGCAUUAAUACAGGACAAUUGCAUAUCAAAUGAUAUGAUGUUCCGUAAUCGGAUUCACAAAGAUCACAUGAAUAAUACUCAGCGCACUGAAUAGUAGUCAUGUGAUAAUUGAGUUUGCAAUGUCCAGUCAGUGCCCUGAACAGAAUACUGCAGUUGUGCUUGGAAAAAUGCAACAAAUUUCUUGACAUUUUCAGACUCACAUCCGGCAGAAAAGCCUUUGUUUGAACGCAAGUUUGCAAGCUACGCCAAUGGUUGGCAUGUUCGAAUGCAGCCCAAGAGCGAAUCUUGUGCUUUAUCCAACUUAUUGACAGUGGUAGAACUGGUUCUAGACCAACGAAAUCAGUCGCAGCGCCAGCUCUAGCCAAUUCGUCCGCCCAUUCAUUUCCAGUAAUACCGGAAUGACCGGGUACCCAUAGAAGGUAGAUGGCAUUUGAAAUGCUAAGUUCUUCGAUUUGAGUUCGACAUGCGAUUACUAAUUUCGAUCUCGAAUCUGCCGAACUAAGUGCUUUCAGGGCAGCCUGGCUGUCAGAGCAAAAAUAGAUUCUUUUACCGCAAAUUUCCUGUUGAAGUGCGGAUUGUACGCCACACAGAAUCGCAAAGAUUUCUGCUUGGAAUAUGGUACAGUAUCUACCAAGCGAAUGAGAUUGGUUUAAUCUCAUCUCAUGACAAUAGACACCAGCACCGGCUCGGCCCUCCAACAAAGAACCGUUCGUAUAACAAACUACGUAUUCUUCAAGUUGUCGCUCCAUCCAGCCAGACAGCCAUUCCUCACGAAGAGGAAUUCUCACAUUGAAAGUUUUAGAAAGAAAACUACAUGUGAGUGUAAGGUCACUGGGAGCAAGUGUAUAUUCAUCCCAAGUAACCAUUUGGGGCCACAGUCUUGUGUGGCUAGUUACACGAUCUAUUGGGUUACUGUUCCAGAGCCCAGUAACCUUAAGCCGGUAUGCACAAGAAAGUGCUUCUUGUUUCAGAAACACAUGUAGUGGUUUUAUGUUCAAGAGUGCCUCGAGAGCAGCAGUAGGUGUUGUCGAGAACGCACCAGUCAUCGCCAUCAAGACCAUCCUCUGAAGAUGGUUUAACUUUGAUUGGAUUGUCAUGACUUCUCCCUUCUGCCACCAAACAAGGCACCCGUAUGCCAGUAUUGGUCUAACAAUUGUUGUGUAGAUCCACUGAAUGUACUUGGGUUUGAGUCCCCAAGAUUUGCCGAAAGCCCGUCUACAUUGGCCAAAGGCCAUGCAAGCUUUCUUGAUCCUGAAAUCGAUGUGAGCUGUCCAAUUAAGUUGUGAGUCGAGAAUUACCCCAACGUACUUAACUUGAUCUUCGACAAUAAUUUCAGAGUCAAAAAACUGCAAUGGACGAGCUCCGGUUGUAAUCCUUCAUUGCGUAAAAAGCACCAUUGAGGUUUUAUUUGGAUUAACUGAUAGUCCAACAUGAAGACACCACCGCUCAACAACACAUAAGGCUUGUUGCAUCAAAUCAAAAAGUGUGUUAAUGUAAAUACCGGUGAUCAUUAUAUGAUAAUCAUCGGCGAAACCAUACGUCGGAAACCCAAGCUCAUUCAGUUUUCUCAACAAGCUAUCGGCGACAAGGUUCCAUAGAAGUGGUGACAGCACACCACCUUUAGGACAUUCGCAGACACUCAGUUUCCUCAUCUCUACUUGUCUUAACGAUGAGCACAGAUGUCGGUUGCUAAGCAUUGCGUGUAUCCAGUUCGUGAUAUAUGAAGGUACUGCAUGAUCUCGUGCUGCUUCCAAAAUGGAUUCGAAAGACACGUCGUCAAAAGCACCUUCAAUAUCGAGAAAAACUCCUAAACUUGAUUGCUUUUGUGAAAAAGCUUUUUCAAUGUUGUAGACAACAUUGUGUAACAGGGUGGUAGUAGACUUCCCCCGCUGAUAUGCAUGUUGCAUUGCAUGCAGCGGGUGCUCGCCCAAGCUACCAUCCCGAAUGUAGUGGUCGAUUAAACGUUCCACUGAUUUGAGAAGGAAGGAGGUCAGACUGAUCGGUCUAAAGCUCUUUGCCUCCUCAUAAGUGACGCGGCCACCUUUGCGAAUGAAUUUGACAGUUAUUUCCAUAACUGACAUACUUCAACCCGCCGGAUGCCACGCGGCCUCUAGGCUGGUUUUGUCCGGAGAAAGAUAAUAGAGUUAUCAACCUCCUAGUGGACCACAGCCAGUUACUGGGGAGUUCGCCCGGCUCUUCCCAGGCUCCGUUCGCCAUUGAGAAUAUUUUAAACCCCCUCAACAAUUUUACCCAUAGCACGGGUCGCAUGACACUAUGGAAUUGGGGUUCCCUGUUUGGUGUUACCACCGGAACAGGUAGUCCGUAGUGUAAUUCUUAGCCGGUUGAAACAACCACUACCGACACUACACGGCUUAUCUAGGCUGUUCGGAGAAAGAAGCUGACAUUUAUGGACAGCUCCCAUAGAUGGCCGAACAGCCAAAUUUUUUUUUUUACAUUAAAUAUCUACGCCGAGGCACAUCAUACACAGAUUUGACCCAUGCAUGAAUUCACCACAAAAGACAGAGGCCACGUUACAGAACGUCACCGCAAACGUAAAUCACCCAAGAAAGAUUACCAGAUCGAUAUCCAACGGUUUCAGAAGAGCAUCGUCUGCCCUUCUGAACAUGUAACACGUCGCCGCGCUGAAUAACAAGAUACAUAGGUUUCUCCGACGCUAGAAAAACGUGACGGGAAACCUGCCCACUAAUGAGGGGCGGUUUAAUAAUUAAUAUAUUAAUAUAAUCCGAAGAUGACUCUCCGGCAAUCUAAAAUAUGUAUCGGAACCGACUACGCGGUAUCCCUUGGUAAAAGAUAUAAGUUCGGGUGUCUUCGACACCCCCGAAACAAAAGUUUCAAAAUUGUUGCCAAAAGGCAUAGUAUAUGUGUUCAGGACAACAAACUGGUCCCUUCCUUCGAAAUUCCUGGUCAACAGUAAACGGGCCGUAAACACUCCUGUCUUAGACGCCAUCCCGAAAUUAGAUGAAUGCACCUAACCGUAAGAAUGCACUUAGAUAUUUAUAACCUCGAUUUUGGAUUUUCUUUUAUAUGCGACAACACAUGACAUGGUUUCUUAAUAGACUAAGUGAACCGAUUGUCGAGCUAGAUCCGGUCUAGUCGGGCUUAGUCAGAAAGCUCUACUUAAUUCUUAUUAGUAAUUUCCAGUACUGUUUUUUCAACUUUACUGACAUUAAGUGAACUUACUCUAUUACAUUUCCGGCUUUUCUAUCCACUGAUCAUUUUCCCAUAAAGCGUUGUGAGAUUUUUUUGGUAUUUGAAUUAGUUUUCUUGAGAGUACAAUCCACUGAAUGCAAGUUCUUCAUUAUGUUCAAUCGUAUAAUAUUCAGUUUUAAAAUGCACCAACAUCCGCUACAUCUGCAGCUAACGUCUCAGUUCACGUUUCGGUACUGAAACUCCACAUAUCUUAAGAUUUCUGACCAUAGUUUGGAUCGAUUCGUUCCAGCUUUAAAAAUACCUUCUGCAAUUUCUUACCUGUACGCAGUUGAGCAUCCUUUUGCCACUACUAUUCUCUCUUUGACGACUAUCAGCAAAACCCACCGCCGCACCAACCACUUUAAUUUAGGUUAAGUUGUAGAAAUUUAGUUUUUGCUACAACACAACACAGGGGCGUAUGUUUUUGCUAAUCUCUUCAAAACUAGGUCGUUUUAGAAUAUUUACGAUGGGAAACAAAAACAACGCGCCGCCUACUAUGAUUCAACGAUUGUCCAAUUGAGUGCAACAUAGUCGACCAGCAUUUCGCUGUCGUCAUCAAGCUCCGGGUGAUCAUCGCUAUCCGUGUCAGAGGGGCGUCCAUCCCUCGACUCAUCAGCGAUGGGCUCGGAUUUAAAAUCCAGAGGGUCGGCGAAUUUAGACGCCGGCACUCCGUCUUUAGUCGAGGCGGACUUACUCGCACCCGACGUACCAGAGGCAGAAUCAGUAGUGGAACCACUACUCUUAGAAUUCUUUCGCCUAUCGGCGAAAGCUUUUUUACUCUUAUCAAAUUUAGCCUUAGAACGAGGACAUGAUAGUCCACCAAAUGUAGAAUCAUCAUUGCACGUAUGCAAGGUGCCCACUCUUGCUUCGCACACGGUAUCUUUAAUAGUUAAGGAAACUCUAUCGAGAAUUAUUCGAGGAGAUAUAAAUCCCCGAUCCACUAGAGUCAAAUCUACCCUCAUUAAAUAAAAGAUCAGAAUUAAUCCGAAGACGACUCUCCGGUAACCUAAAGUACUUAUCAGAUCCGACAACGCGGUAUCCCUUGGUGAAUGAGAUUAACUCGGGUGUCUGCGACACCCCAGAGACAAAAGUCUCAAAAUUAUUGCCAAAAGGCAUAGAAUAGGUAUUAAGGACCACGAACUGGUCCCUCCCUCCGUGACUCCUUGUCAGCAAUACAUCGGUCUAAAGCUCUUUGCCUCCUCAUAAGUGACGCGGCCACCUUUGCGAAUGAAUUUGACAGUUAUUUCCAUAACUGACAUACUUCAACCCGCCGGAUGCCACGCGGCCUCUAGGCUGGUUUUGUCCGGAGAAAGAUAAUAGAGUUAUCAACCUCCUAGUGGACCACAGCCAGUUACUGGGGAAGAAUGCACUUAGAUAUUUAUAACCUCGAUUUUGGAUUUUCUUUUAUAUGCGACAACACAUGACAUGGUUUCUUAAUAGACUAAGUGAACCGAUUGUCGAGCUAGAUCCGGUCUAGUCGGGCUUAGUCAGAAAGCUCUACUUAAUUCUUAUUAGUAAUUUCCAGUACUGUUUUUUCAACUUUACUGACAUUAAGUGAACUUACUCUAUUACAUUUCCGGCUUUUCUAUCCACUGAUCAUUUUCCCAUAAAGCGUUGUGAGAUUUUUUUGGUAUUUGAAUUAGUUUUCUUGAGAGUACAAUCCACUGAAUGCAAGUUCUUCAUUAUGUUCAAUCGUAUAAUAUUCAGUUUUAAAAUGCACCAACAUCCGCUACAUCUGCAGCUAACGUCUCAGUUCACGUUUCGGUACUGAAACUCCACAUAUCUUAAGAUUUCUGACCAUAGUUUGGAUCGAUUCGUUCCAGCUUUAAAAAUACCUUCUGCAAUUUCUUACCUGUACGCAGUUGAGCAUCCUUUUGCCACUACUAUUCUCUCUUUGACGACUAUCAGCAAAACCCACCGCCGCACCAACCACUUUAAUUUAGGUUAAGUUGUAGAAAUUUAGUUUUUGCUACAACACAACACAGGGGCGUAUGUUUUUGCUAAUCUCUUCAAAACUAGGUCGUUUUAGAAUAUUUACGAUGGGAAACAAAAACAACGCGCCGCCUACUAUGAUUCAACGAUUGUCCAAUUGAGUGCAACAUAGUCGACCAGCAUUUCGCUGUCGUCAUCAAGCUCCGGGUGAUCAUCGCUAUCCGUGUCAGAGGGGCGUCCAUCCCUCGACUCAUCAGCGAUGGGCUCGGAUUUAAAAUCCAGAGGGUCGGCGAAUUUAGACGCCGGCACUCCGUCUUUAGUCGAGGCGGACUUACUCGCACCCGACGUACCAGAGGCAGAAUCAGUAGUGGAACCACUACUCUUAGAAUUCUUUCGCCUAUCGGCGAAAGCUUUUUUACUCUUAUCAAAUUUAGCCUUAGAACGAGGACAUGAUAGUCCACCAAAUGUAGAAUCAUCAUUGCACGUAUGCAAGGUGCCCACUCUUGCUUCGCACACGGUAUCUUUAAUAGUUAAGGAAACUCUAUCGAGAAUUAUUCGAGGAGAUAUAAAUCCCCGAUCCACUAGAGAGUCAAAUCUACCCUCAUUAAAUAAAAGAUCAGAAUUAAUCCGAAGACGACUCUCCGGUAACCUAAAGUACUUAUCAGAUCCGACAACGCGGUAUCCCUUGGUGAAUGAGAUUAACUCGGGUGUCUGCGACACCCCAGAGACAAAAGUCUCAAAAUUAUUGCCAAAAGGCAUAGAAUAGGUAUUAAGGACCACGAACUGGUCCCUCCCUCCGUGACUCCUUGUCAGCAAUACAUCGGUCUAAAGCUCUUUGCCUCCUCAUAAGUGACGCGGCCACCUUUGCGAAUGAAUUUGACAGUUAUUUCCAUAACUGACAUACUUCAACCCGCCGGAUGCCACGCGGCCUCUAGGCUGGUUUUGUCCGGAGAAAGAUAAUAGAGUUAUCAACCUCCUAGUGGACCACAGCCAGUUACUGGGGAAGAAUGCACUUAGAUAUUUAUAACCUCGAUUUUGGAUUUUCUUUUAUAUGCGACAACACAUGACAUGGUUUCUUAAUAGACUAAGUGAACCGAUUGUCGAGCUAGAUCCGGUCUAGUCGGGCUUAGUCAGAAAGCUCUACUUAAUUCUUAUUAGUAAUUUCCAGUACUGUUUUUUCAACUUUACUGACAUUAAGUGAACUUACUCUAUUACAUUUCCGGCUUUUCUAUCCACUGAUCAUUUUCCCAUAAAGCGUUGUGAGAUUUUUUUGGUAUUUGAAUUAGUUUUCUUGAGAGUACAAUCCACUGAAUGCAAGUUCUUCAUUAUGUUCAAUCGUAUAAUAUUCAGUUUUAAAAUGCACCAACAUCCGCUACAUCUGCAGCUAACGUCUCAGUUCACGUUUCGGUACUGAAACUCCACAUAUCUUAAGAUUUCUGACCAUAGUUUGGAUCGAUUCGUUCCAGCUUUAAAAAUACCUUCUGCAAUUUCUUACCUGUACGCAGUUGAGCAUCCUUUUGCCACUACUAUUCUCUCUUUGACGACUAUCAGCAAAACCCACCGCCGCACCAACCACUUUAAUUUAGGUUAAGUUGUAGAAAUUUAGUUUUUGCUACAACACAACACAGGGGCGUAUGUUUUUGCUAAUCUCUUCAAAACUAGGUCGUUUUAGAAUAUUUACGAUGGGAAACAAAAACAACGCGCCGCCUACUAUGAUUCAACGAUUGUUGAACGACAGUCGCGCUGCUUCCGAUUGUGAAAUCUGACUCGGGUCGAUUUACUGCAAUUUCUUUUUUUGUUACUAAGAGCUGCUUGAAACUUUGUCAUUUGUUCGAUUUUGGAUUUUCUUUUAUAUGCGACAGGAAUCAGUACCGUCUGGCUCAAAUGGCACGUUCUCCAUGUUGAUCGGAGAUUUGUGCCUUGCCAAGAAUCGUCUUUUCAUCAUUUUCCUGAUGGGAAGGAUUGGGGAAGUGGUAAGGUUAGGGGUAAGGAAAACAACGACACAGAACAAUUAAAACAGAGCAUUCUGCACCCCCGGAGUGAUGCUGAACGAUCUGCAGGUGCUACAAUAGCAGGAAUAAAACUUCCAAUCCCCGGAGGGAUUUAGAACCUCUACUCAAACAGUGAGCGGAUAUAUCAACACCCCCGAGGGGAUAUUGAGAUAACAGAACGACAACACCCCCGAAGAGAUAUUGUCAUUCAAAUACGGCUAAAAAACUAUAGCUCUUUACCAUACUAGGUUAGGAACAAAAGCAUAUACUUAAAUUUCAGCUCUCUGUAUAUAGGUUCAUCUAUGUAUGGAGAACCAAAAAAACCGGAUGCGCAAUUGCAUUAAUACAGGACAAUUGCAUAUCAAAUGAUAUGAUGUUCCGUAAUCGGAUUCACAAAGAUCACAUGAAUAAUACUCAGCGCACUGAAUAGUAGUCAUGUGAUAAUUGAGUUUGCAAUGUCCAGUCAGUGCCCUGAACAGAAUACUGCAGUUGUGCUUGGAAAAAUGCAACAAAUUUCUUGACAUUUUCAGACUCACAUCCGGCAGAAAAGCCUUUGUUUGAACGCAAGUUUGCAAGCUACGCCAAUGGUUGGCAUGUUCGAAUGCAGCCCAAGAGCGAAUCUUGUGCUUUAUCCAACUUAUUGACAGUGGUAGAACUGGUUCUAGACCAACGAAAUCAGUCGCAGCGCCAGCUCUAGCCAAUUCGUCCGCCCAUUCAUUUCCAGUAAUACCGGAAUGACCGGGUACCCAUAGAAGGUAGAUGGCAUUUGAAAUGCUAAGUUCUUCGAUUUGAGUUCGACAUGCGAUUACUAAUUUCGAUCUCGAAUCUGCCGAACUAAGUGCUUUCAGGGCAGCCUGGCUGUCAGAGCAAAAAUAGAUUCUUUUACCGCAAAUUUCCUGUUGAAGUGCGGAUUGUACGCCACACAGAAUCGCAAAGAUUUCUGCUUGGAAUAUGGUACAGUAUCUACCAAGCGAAUGAGAUUGGUUUAAUCUCAUCUCAUGACAAUAGACACCAGCACCGGCUCGGCCCUCCAACAAAGAACCGUUCGUAUAACAAACUACGUAUUCUUCAAGUUGUCGCUCCAUCCAGCCAGACAGCCAUUCCUCACGAAGAGGAAUUCUCACAUUGAAAGUUUUAGAAAGAAAACUACAUGUGAGUGUAAGGUCACUGGGAGCAAGUGUAUAUUCAUCCCAAGUAACCAUUUGGGGCCACAGUCUUGUGUGGCUAGUUACACGAUCUAUUGGGUUACUGUUCCAGAGCCCAGUAACCUUAAGCCGGUAUGCACAAGAAAGUGCUUCUUGUUUCAGAAACACAUGUAGUGGUUUUAUGUUCAAGAGUGCCUCGAGAGCAGCAGUAGGUGUUGUCGAGAACGCACCAGUCAUCGCCAUCAAGACCAUCCUCUGAAGAUGGUUUAACUUUGAUUGGAUUGUCAUGACUUCUCCCUUCUGCCACCAAACAAGGCACCCGUAUGCCAGUAUUGGUCUAACAAUUGUUGUGUAGAUCCACUGAAUGUACUUGGGUUUGAGUCCCCAAGAUUUGCCGAAAGCCCGUCUACAUUGGCCAAAGGCCAUGCAAGCUUUCUUGAUCCUGAAAUCGAUGUGAGCUGUCCAAUUAAGUUGUGAGUCGAGAAUUACCCCAACGUACUUAACUUGAUCUUCGACAAUAAUUUCAGAGUCAAAAAACUGCAAUGGACGAGCUCCGGUUGUAAUCCUUCAUUGCGUAAAAAGCACCAUUGAGGUUUUAUUUGGAUUAACUGAUAGUCCAACAUGAAGACACCACCGCUCAACAACACAUAAGGCUUGUUGCAUCAAAUCAAAAAGUGUGUUAAUGUAAAUACCGGUGAUCAUUAUAUGAUAAUCAUCGGCGAAACCAUACGUCGGAAACCCAAGCUCAUUCAGUUUUCUCAACAAGCUAUCGGCGACAAGGUUCCAUAGAAGUGGUGACAGCACACCACCUUUAGGACAUUCGCAGACACUCAGUUUCCUCAUCUCUACUUGUCUUAACGAUGAGCACAGAUGUCGGUUGCUAAGCAUUGCGUGUAUCCAGUUCGUGAUAUAUGAAGGUACUGCAUGAUCUCGUGCUGCUUCCAAAAUGGAUUCGAAAGACACGUCGUCAAAAGCACCUUCAAUAUCGAGAAAAACUCCUAAACUUGAUUGCUUUUGUGAAAAAGCUUUUUCAAUGUUGUAGACAACAUUGUGUAACAGGGUGGUAGUAGACUUCCCCCGCUGAUAUGCAUGUUGCAUUGCAUGCAGCGGGUGCUCGCCCAAGCUACCAUCCCGAAUGUAGUGGUCGAUUAAACGUUCCACUGAUUUGAGAAGGAAGGAGGUCAGACUGAUCGGUCUAAAGCUCUUUGCCUCCUCAUAAGUGACGCGGCCACCUUUGCGAAUGAAUUUGACAGUUAUUUCCAUAACUGACAUACUUCAACCCGCCGGAUGCCACGCGGCCUCUAGGCUGGUUUUGUCCGGAGAAAGAUAAUAGAGUUAUCAACCUCCUAGUGGACCACAGCCAGUUACUGGGGAGUUCGCCCGGCUCUUCCCAGGCUCCGUUCGCCAUUGAGAAUAUUUUAAACCCCCUCAACAAUUUUACCCAUAGCACGGGUCGCAUGACACUAUGGAAUUGGGGUUCCCUGUUUGGUGUUACCACCGGAACAGGUAGUCCGUAGUGUAAUUCUUAGCCGGUUGAAACAACCACUACCGACACUACACGGCUUAUCUAGGCUGUUCGGAGAAAGAAGCUGACAUUUAUGGACAGCUCCCAUAGAUGGCCGAACAGCCAAAUUUUUUUUUUACAUUAAAUAUCUACGCCGAGGCACAUCAUACACAGAUUUGACCCAUGCAUGAAUUCACCACAAAAGACAGAGGCCACGUUACAGAACGUCACCGCAAACGUAAAUCACCCAAGAAAGAUUACCAGAUCGAUAUCCAACGGUUUCAGAAGAGCAUCGUCUGCCCUUCUGAACAUGUAACACGUCGCCGCGCUGAAUAACAAGAUACAUAGGUUUCUCCGACGCUAGAAAAACGUGACGGGAAACCUGCCCACUAAUGAGGGGCGGUUUAAUAAUUAAUAUAUUAAUAUAAUCCGAAGAUGACUCUCCGGCAAUCUAAAAUAUGUAUCGGAACCGACUACGCGGUAUCCCUUGGUAAAAGAUAUAAGUUCGGGUGUCUUCGACACCCCCGAAACAAAAGUUUCAAAAUUGUUGCCAAAAGGCAUAGUAUAUGUGUUCAGGACAACAAACUGGUCCCUUCCUUCGAAAUUCCUGGUCAACAGUAAACGGGCCGUAAACACUCCUGUCUUAGACGCCAUCCCGAAAUUAGAUGAAUGCACCUAACCGUAAGAAUGCACUUAGAUAUUUAUAACCUCGAUUUUGGAUUUUCUUUUAUAUGCGACAACACAUGACAUGGUUUCUUAAUAGACUAAGUGAACCGAUUGUCGAGCUAGAUCCGGUCUAGUCGGGCUUAGUCAGAAAGCUCUACUUAAUUCUUAUUAGUAAUUUCCAGUACUGUUUUUUCAACUUUACUGACAUUAAGUGAACUUACUCUAUUACAUUUCCGGCUUUUCUAUCCACUGAUCAUUUUCCCAUAAAGCGUUGUGAGAUUUUUUUGGUAUUUGAAUUAGUUUUCUUGAGAGUACAAUCCACUGAAUGCAAGUUCUUCAUUAUGUUCAAUCGUAUAAUAUUCAGUUUUAAAAUGCACCAACAUCCGCUACAUCUGCAGCUAACGUCUCAGUUCACGUUUCGGUACUGAAACUCCACAUAUCUUAAGAUUUCUGACCAUAGUUUGGAUCGAUUUUCUUCGCAAGAUACAAAUACAGUCGAAUGAAAAUCUGUUCAAAGGCGUCAGUAAUAAAUGUAAAGUGAAAGACUUAGUCAAGAUGCAAUAAUUAUAACAACAUGCUAGUUAAACCCCCCCUCACUCGCAAUAGAUUUAAACACGGUCCAUCUGACUGCCAACAUUCUGAAUCCUUGAUAGCAUUCAUAGUAUUAGCACAUCCCCACACAUUUCAGUAUCUCUCAAGAAGUCGUCAUAAUAUAACCAAAGGUCACACAAGCUCAGAUUAUUGAACGAGAUACGGCGAGAGUAGGUAACAGAUGAACUGUCAAAACUGAAAAUCAAUAGCAAUUCGAUCGAAGUAGGCUGGUUAUCCCCACACAUUUAUCCUAAACUAGAGAGAACAGGGUAGAAACGAAAAAUAUUCAAACCAAAUAAACUUUAUUGAACAGAUCAAUCCAGCAAGAUGCAAAGGUACAAUUGAUUGUGGCAGCGGUAUGUGUUAGAUAGGAUCUAGAAGGAAUGAUUUGUUAGCAUGUUCUAGGACGAAAACGACUGUAUGUAAAGGAAAUCUAUUGAAUAAAAGAUGUCAGCUAUGAAA
Long non-coding RNA from Topomyia yanbarensis, 36196 nucleotides. RefSeq lists it as uncharacterized. The record is from RefSeq and is a predicted model, not a curated record. NCBI's taxonomy places the organism in Eukaryota, Metazoa, Arthropoda, Insecta, Diptera, Culicidae. The transcript has 5 exons.